UUUCGAUGGGCAUUGUCUUGCGCGAUGG
RNAcentral lists this small RNA (28 nucleotides) under Bombyx mori (domestic silkworm). Its description in RNAcentral is "ovarian small RNA-38317". The record is from RNAcentral. Lineage: Eukaryota; Metazoa; Arthropoda; Insecta; Lepidoptera; Bombycidae.